Molecule: long non-coding RNA, 1864 nt
Organism: Chroicocephalus ridibundus (black-headed gull)
Lineage: Eukaryota; Metazoa; Chordata; Aves; Charadriiformes; Laridae
Exons: 3
Source: RefSeq, a predicted model, not a curated record
AAAAAAUAAAUUAAAAAAAAGAAUUAUGCUGUAAAGAUACUGUAUACAGGCUGGAGGAGAGACAGAGUCAAGAUCUACGCGGUGUGGAUGUGGCCAGCCUCUACUACAUAGGCUCGCGUAGAGCAAAUAAUCAGGUGCAAUGAUGCCAGGGAUCACUCCAGAUCUGCAUUUCUGCCUUCGUUUCCAAGUCUUUAAAUGCCAGAGAAAAACGAAUUUUCACCUGCCAGAAGAGAAGUGGGAGAAGAGGACUUCGCAGGGGAGGUGUCACUUAAACGAGUUUUACACUGUGGGACUCUUACCUCCAGAUCAGGGUCCAGUUAUCUCAGGAAGACAUUCACACCUCUCUUGGUGUGAUCAGACUGGUUCAUCAGCAAAACUCCACCUGACACCAGAGUGACCAGCCACUAUUUGGCACUAGGAUAACCGAGUAGGUAGGAAUUUGUCCUGCUUUGAGCGACACAGGACUAACUUCUCUUCUAACGCUUGGGGAAACUGCACUUUUGGAAGACUCUAAUGCCUGAAUUUGUGAAAAUAUUUACUUUAUGGCCAGCUAGGCUAUGUGGGAUUCAAGGGCUCAGUGUUUUUGAGCUUGCCAGGUGCGGGGAUGAGGAGGAGCGAGACCCAGGCACUUGACCCAAGCUGCCAACAGGAUUAUUUCAUACCACGAACGGCACAUUCAAUAUGAAUUAGAAACUUUGCUGAUGUCUUUCUCACUCUCCCUCGAUGAUGGCGGUCCAGUGAACUCCUUGCCCCGGUGCCGGAGCCCUGAGCCCUUCCCUUCCACCCGCAGCCACAGCGCUCGCAGGGUCCCACAUGGACUGUCCCUGUGGGGAGCGCACGGCUUCUGCUGAUAUAAUUGGCUGCUUAUAAUUCUUGUAUAUCUGAUAUUAGUAUCAGGAUCAAUACUGGUUCUUUAGUAUUAUUGUUAAUUAUUUAGUCUUAACCUGUUAAAUCUGUUUAUAUUUCAACCCUCGUGUUUCCUUGUUUUCCCCAGUUCCCCUUCCCGGGUGGGGGGAAUUCUAUCGGGUGAUAGAAUAAUUGUCGAAACAAUAAUAAAUUGUUAUGAGUUUUCUCAAACCAUAACAGAAGUGUACGGGCUGGUGUGGAAAUUAAGUGUCAGCGAGAUACAGCCACACAGCAGCCAGAAUCUGAGCUGUGGAUCCUAAAUCAGUGACUUUUCAUCUCUCCGUCCUGAAUCUAUUAAUUAUGUAUUAUGUCUUUAUCGUGCCAUUUCUAUUGGUUUUAUUCUUUUGUCUGGUUGCUGGGGACACACUCAAGUUCCAGUCAUAAGCAGCACCAUAUGAUUAAUUCUGGCCAUAUAGAUUAAUGUGUUACAUUUUGUUUUAUAUUCUUUUCUCUAUAACAAUCUCUAUAACACUGCAAGCUUCCAGUGCAUAAUUUUCAUUGUUUUUUAAGCCCAUAAACAUCCUUUUCAGUGGUCUAUUCUGAAGCUGCUUAUAAAUUGCGUGUUCAAGAUUGAAUACACAUCUCGGCUCUAGUAACUACUAUUUACGUUUUUCAGGCUGUGUAUCAUUGCUUUAUCUACUAUUUUAAAAGUAUUGCUCUGGAUCUUCUGAAUCAUGGUCUAUACCGGACAAUUCUAUUACUAAAAAGAUGCAUGAGUAUCUAAUCUCUGUAAUUCUUAAUCAUGAUGGAAGUUCAUUGUAGAAGGCAGAAUACUUUUGCUAUCGGUAAGACAUAAAUACAUUAAUUGAAGCUAUUUAAUUGCAUGCAUAAUAACACUUUUAUUAGCCGUUAGCAAUUCCAUUAACACUAUUGGGUCAUUAACUUUGAUACAACAGACAAGUGCAAUUUUGUUGUAAUCAAGAAAGCAAUAAAAGGAUAGUUUGUGUACCACAGAGCA